Molecule: ribosomal RNA, 437 nt
Filed under: uncultured bacterium
Lineage: Bacteria
Description: bacterial SSU rRNA
Rfam family: Bacterial small subunit ribosomal RNA
Source: RNAcentral
AACGAACGCUGGCGGCAGGCCUAACACAUGCAAGUCGAGCGCACCUUCGGGUGAGCGGCGGACGGGUUAGUAACGCGUGGGAACGUGCCCUUCUCUACGGAAUAGCCUCUGGAAACGGAGAGUAAUACCGUAUACGCCCUUUGGGGGAAAGAUUUAUCGGAGAAGGAUCGGCCCGCGUUAGAUUAGGUAGUUGGUGGGGUAACGGCCUACCAAGCCUACGAUCUAUAGCUGGUUUUAGAGGAUGAUCAGCAACACUGGGACUGAGACACGGCCCAGACUCCUACGGGAGGCAGCAGUGGGGAAUCUUAGACAAUGGGGGCAACCCUGAUCUAGCCAUGCCGCGUGAGUGAUGAAGGCCUUAGGGUCGUAAAGCUCUUUCGCCUGUGAUGAUAAUGACAGUAGCAGGUAAAGAAACCCCGGCUAACUCCGUGCCAGCG